RNAcentral lists this long non-coding RNA (9068 nucleotides) under Malus domestica (apple). Its description in RNAcentral is "long non-coding RNA (MDOM_LNC003540)". Lineage: Eukaryota; Viridiplantae; Streptophyta; Magnoliopsida; Rosales; Rosaceae. The record is from RNAcentral.
CCCCGGGCCGGGAUGUGACAGAUACUACAAAAUCUUAUUUUAUACUUAAUUAAGCAUAAUAUUAACUCAAAUGUUUGUUUAAUCUACCGUUUUGACCAAGGUUCUAAAAAACGCUAGGCGCUAGUCGGGCGGCGGGCUAGGGCCUGGCGCCUAGGCGGCUAGGCGGGGCCUAGGCGGACGCCUAGGCGGACUAGGCGGAUUUAAGUAAAUUUGUUAUAUAUCAUAUAAAUUAAUUCAAUUUAUUAUAUAAUAUGUAAUUAACAUUGAAUAAUAUGUUAAUUUUUUUUAAAGAAAAAUAUACAUGUCUAAAAUUUUAGACUUUUUUUUUAGUUUUGUAUCAUUAUCUUAGCCAUUAAUUUUUGUUGGGCCUUUUAUUUUAAUUAACAAAAUGCAAGAUUGGGCUUGUUUUAAAUUUUGAAUAGCAUCCUAACAAAAAACCCAAAGGCCGGCUAACCCAUUUAUCGUAUUAGAAUAUAAAAUUAAGAGCACUUGUAUUUAUGGGUGAAAUGGUCAUCCCAGUCACCAACUCACCUUUAGAAAACAAAACCCUAACUACGACUGCUCGCUUCUAAAACCAUGGCCGCCGUCAGCAUCUCUGCAAUUGCAGAUGCACUCUCUAUCUCUCUCUCCCUCAUCUCGUAUACCAUCGUCACACUAAGACUCGGUUAGACAAGACAGCCAGACCCGGGAAGACAAGACAGCGAGACGCAGAGCGCCCAGAUUGCCCAACGUUGGACUGCUUCUGGGUAGGAAUUCGUAUUUUCCAAGACUGCCCAGACCGUCCAACUUCUGUCUUGCCCGCCUAGCGUUCGUCUUCCCGCCUAUGCAUCUGCCUUACGCCACCUAAUUGCCUUGCCGAUUUAAUUAACGAUUUCGGUAUAAUCGUGGCGGAACACUGCCGUCUAGCGCCUCGGCGCCGCCUAGGCGGCCACCUAGAGCGCGUUUUAGAACACUGGUUUUGACGCAACAUGCAUUCUACGAAAUGUUUUUCAACGAUUCAACCGUCAAAAUUAUUUGUACACACUCCGAGAUUGCAUACAUAAAAAAUCGUAAAAAACAAACAUUCAGAGAUUAGGCAACGAAAUAAAAGUUUUUGACGGUUAUAAAAGAAAAAUCACAAUUUAACGGUUAUUUUAGCUUCGAUUUUGAUGAUUUUUUACUGCUACACUCCUUAACCCUAUAAGAAUGUAAUCAAUAAAUUUGAUCUUCAAUUUAAAAUAUUUACACUAGUGGAUACCACAAAAUCUUAUUUUAUACUUAAUAGAAGUAUAAUAUUAACUCUAAGUGUUUGUUUAAUCUACCGUUUUGAUGCAAUAUGCAUUCUACGAAACUUUUUUCAACAAUCCAACCGUCAAAAUUAUUUGUACAUACUCCAAGAUUGCAUACGUAAAAAAUCGUAAAAAACAAACAUUCAGAUAUUACAUAACGGAACAAAAGUUUUUGAUGAUUAUAAACGAAAAAUCAUAAAUUUAACGGUUAUUUUAGCUCUGAUUUUGAUGAUUUUUUACAGCUACACUCCUCGACCCUAUAAGAAUGUAAUGAAUAAAUUCGAUCUUUAAUUUAAAAUAUUUACACUGGUAGAUAACACAAAAUCUUAUUUUAUACUUAAUAGAAGUAUAAUAUUUACUCUAAGUGUUUGUUUAAUCUACCGUUUUGACACUAUGCAUUAUACGAAACUUUUUUCAACGAUCCAACCGUCAAAAUUAUUUGUACACACUCCGAGAUUGCAUACGUAAAAAAUCGUAAAAACCAAACAUUCAGAGAUUAGGUAACGGAACAAAAUUUUUCGACGGUUAUAAAAGAAAAAUCACAAUUUAACGGUUAUUUCAGCUCCGAUUUUGAUGAUUUUUUUACAGCUACACUCCUCAACCCUAUAAGAAUAUAAUGCAUAAAUUUGAUCUUCAAUUUAAAUAUUUACACUAGUGGAUACAAGAACUUAUUUUAUACUUAAUUGAAGCAUAAUAUUAAUUCAAGUGUUUGUUUAAUCUACCGUUUUGAAGCAACAUGCAUUCUACAAAACUUUUUUCAACGAUUCAACCGUCAAAAUUAUUUGUACACAGUUCGAGAUUGCAUACGUAAAAAUCGUAAAAAACAAACAUUUAGAUAUUACGUAACAGAACAAAAGUUUUCGAAAGUUAUAAACGAAAAUCACAAUUUAACGGUUAUUUUAGCUCCGAUUUUAAUGAUUUUUUACAGCUACACUCCUCGACCCUAUAAGAAUGUAAUGAAUAAAUUUGAUCUUUAAUUUAAAAUAUUUACACUAGUGGUUACCACAAAAUCUUAUUUUAUACUUAAUAAAAGUAUAAUAUUAACUCUAAGUGUUUGUUUAAUAUACCGUUUUGACGCAAUAUGCAUUCUACGAAACUUUUUUCAACGAUCCAACCGUCAAAAUUAUUUGUACACACUCUGAGAUUGCAUACGUAAAAAAUCGUAAAAAAACAAACAUUUAGAGAUUAGGUAACGGAACAAAAGCUUUCGACGAUUAUAAAAGAAAAAUCACUAUUUAACGGUUAUUUUAGCUCCGAUUUUGAUGAUUUUUUACAGCUACACUCCUCAACCCUAUAAGAAUGUAAUGAAUAAAUUUGAUCUUCAAGUUAAAAUAUUUACACUGGUGGAUACCACAAAAUCUUAUUUUAUACUUAAUAGAAGUAUAAUAUUAACUCUAAGUGUUUGUUUAAUCUACCGUUUUGAUGCAACAUGCAUUCUACGAAUUUUUUUUCAACGAUCUAACCUUCAAAAUUAUUUGUACACACUUCGAGAUUGCAUACAUAAAAAAUCGUAAAAAAAAACAUUCAGAUAUUACAUAACGGAACAAAAGUUUUCGACGAUUAUAAAAAAAAAAUCACAAUUUAACGAUUAUUUUAGCUCCGAUUUUGAUGAUUUUUUACAGCUACACUCCUCGACCCUAUAAGAAUGUAAUGAAUAAAUUCGAUCUUUAAUUUAAAAUAUUUACUGACACACCCCGACCGAAGUCAAGGCAUGAUGGCCGUCACGUGAGCGUGACGUAGCCAUGUGCGCUGUGCGGAAGCGAUAUUUUAUAAGGAAAGUACGAAUAAAUUAAACCAACUACGAUAGGUUCUAAUUUGAGUUUAAGUGUGAAUACACAACCAGAGCACAAGGUCUAAGUGCAGUCAAACAUAAGAUGUACAUAUUUAACAACACUCGAAGUUGGUCCUACAUGAGUGGUGGUUUGUCAGAACUUUCAGCUGGACACUUCGAGAUUCACCGAUAUACGCUACCUAGAACCUGGAGGGGCGCAAAACAAAGUUGAGUGGGUCAGCAAAACAAACUUAUUCAAAACCUUCUUUUUUUUCUUUUGAAUGUACUAACCCCUCGCCGUAAAACAAGUAUAAUUUUCCAGCAAUAAAGUAUAUAAUCAUAUACGUAAUAUAUAUCAAAUCAUGCUGAACAAUAUGAAUGUAUGUCAUGCCAAAUAUCAUAACUGAAUGCUUAACAUCCUAUGUGAAUCUGAUGGGAUAACAUAUAAUCAAUUCAACGCUCGGCUAUAAACAUAAUUCAUAAUCAUCUCAUCACAAUCAACUCAGCCCUCAGCUGCAUAUAUAGCUCAUAAUCAUCUCAUCACAUCAUUUAUAAACAUGUAUAUCCUGCACACAUUCAAUACCACCUCACGUGGUCUGCAAUUCAUCAUCGUAUAUAAUAUAAUAUGCUCUAGUGCUACAAUCACGUGAAGCUGUGCGAUAAAUUGCGGGUCACCUACAAGUCGAACCCACAUAAGUGGUCUAUACGACAGGCUGUACACCUAACUUGGAUCCAAGGCGAGCAUGCGGUGCGGGAGGUGAACAUCACGUGAAAGACUGUGCCUCUAUCUCUGGGCGGGAGCACUAAUAUACGUGUGCAAGUAAAUGAGCUUUCAAUCACAUCUCAAUCGAAUCAUAUAAUUCAUCAUAUUCCAAUCUUAUCUCAUGAUCGUUAUAAGCAUAAUAUGUCAAUUGUAUCUCAAUUCUAUCUCAAAUCAUAUCACAAUUAUAUCUCAAACAUAUCUCAAUCUCAUUCCAAACAUAUCUCAAUCACAUUUCAUACGUAUAUCCACUGUAUUUCGUAUGUAUUUCAAACGUAUAUUAUACGUAUUUCAAAUGUAUAUUAUACGUAUUUCAAAUGUAUUUUGUACGUAUUUCAAAUGUAUAUUGUACGUAUUUCAAAUGUAUAUUAUACGUAUAUCAAUCGUAUUUCAAACGUAUAUACUUACGUACUUCAAAUGUAUUUCAUAUGUAUAUCAAUCAUAUUUCAAAUGUAUUUCAUAUGUAUAUCAAUCAUAUUUCAAAUGUAUAUACUUACGUGUAGCUUACCUGGGCCUCCUCAGCACCAUGCAACAAUAUGCAUAAUUAUAAUAAUGCACAUACUAAAAUAUGAUGCAUACAUGAUAAGUUGCUUAAUUCGUAUUUCUUUUAAAUACGUUUUCUGGGAAAUACGUCAAGUAUACGUAUAUAUAUACUAAAAAAUAACUGCCCACUCACUGAUAAGUAGCUGGUUCAUAACCCCCUCGCCUAUUUUGGUUACGUUCUUCGUCCGUAUAAUUUUUACCUAUACAAAAAUAAUUAUAAAACAUCAUUUAAACGCACAUACACAAACAUACGUCAAUAACUUUCUCAUACGUUGCUCAAUUUGGGUAUGUGAAUAUACCACGGUGAUCUACACGACGUCACGAACACGUGACAAUUUUCAGAACUUGAUUUGGGUCUCUCACGCGCCCUCACGCGCCACCUGUACGCGCUGCCCACACGCGCGUCUUCUUCCUCGCGUCGCCGGACUGGUUUCGCCGGAGGUGGUGUUGCCAGAAUUUCUGGGUAAACUUCAAAGUGUCAUAACUUCUUCAUUUCUUAACCAUUUUCGACGUACUUUAUAUCAAAAUGAAGGUAUUGACGAGACGAACACAUCCAUAUCUGCCUUGACCCCUAACGCGGCGUGGAUUCACCGGAAAAAGCCCCGAAAGCUCCGGCCAAACUUUGAUCUCGUCGUUCUCCGUGUUCUUACGUCCAAACACUUCCAACGAACUACUCCAAACCUCCUAAGGACCUCAAGAAGCUUCCUAUAAGCUUGAAAAGUCCUAAAAAUCAACCAAUAAAAAGUUGAUGAAUAGUACCUAAACCGGAGUUCGUAUUUUCGACGUGAAAACGUUAUAGUUCUUACCUGAAAUUGGUAUGGUUGGACUCGUAUCGUCGAAACGAAGAAGAUGGUGAUUUUUCUUCGUCGAUCUAUGAAGUUUUGAUGAACUUGUUGUUUGGUCCGUGGGUUUUGAGAGAAGGAGAGAGAGAGCUUGAGAGCUUGACGGGAGAGAAUGAGAGUUGAGUUUGAGGGAGCUGAGGGAAAAUAAAAGAGAGUGAUUGAGGGAACAAAGUGGAGGGUUUCACGGAAAAGAAAAAGAAAAGUAAGGGAAAAUGAAUGAUUUCUGUAAGCCCUAGGGGUGGGCACGGUUUGGUUUAGUGCGGUUUUGAGUGAAACCAAAACCAAAACCGCAAGUUUUUGCGGUUUGGUUUGGUGCGGUUUUGAAGCUAAAACCGAAAUGAAACCAAACCAUUUGGUUCGGUUUGGUUUGGUUUUAAACGGUUUUGGUUUGGUUUCGUUGUUUGAAAAAACUAUUAAAGUGCUAAAAACUACAUUGUAUGCUCUCUUUGUUACUGUCACAAGAAAGUAUGAAUAGCCAAACACUACUUCAUAAGCUAAACUAAAAGUAAAACAGUUUGGCAUCAUUAAUGAUUGUAGUUAGAAUUUUCUUAAACAUAACCAGUUAAGGAGACAAAGGAAGUUUUCAGCACAAAAAAAAUAAUUCAUACCGCAACAAAAUAUUUCAACUUGAUGAUGACAAUAUUAAAAUUUAACUUAAAAUAAAGUUCAACAUUAAAAAUCAAAAUACCAUAAGGUUUAGGACACUUACUUUGCAUCAUUCAAGUUUCAAACUUCUGCCUUUCCCCUUCCUUUUGCACACUUACUAGCCGAAGGUUUAGGAGGUCUUUGAACUUGUGAGCGGGCUUGAGAAGCCGAUACUUGUGAAGAAUUUGCACGUUGUAAAUUUGAAAACAAUGGAUGGGAAGCCAUUGAUCCUUGUGCACUAGAACUUUUUGAUUGACUUGGAGUUGGAGCUUGUUGUGAUUGUGGAUUAAGAGUAAGAGAGGCGAGAGUUGAGGUUGAUUUGGCCACCUCUACAUAAUACAAAACAUAAACAAUAUAAAUCACAUUAGUUGUUAGAAACUUUAAAAAACAUACAAAAGAACAAAAUAUAUUGAAAAAGAAAACUACGAAAGUUCUUUAACUUGAAAUGAUAUACUUACCCGAUUCAAUACUUUCAUAGAACUCAAUGUGCUCAACCGAAGGUGCAUCAUCCUCCAAAGUAAUAAUGCUAUCGCCCCUCAACCAAUUUUGCAUGCAUAUAAAGGCCUCUACCGAUUUAGGAGUUAAAGAACUCCUAAAAUCUGAAAUUACUCGACCCCCGGUGCUAAAAGCACUCUCCGAUGCCACGGUAGAGACUUGAAUAGCAAAAAUAUCUUUUGCAAUGGCGGCCAAGAUAGGAUACUUAGUACCAUUCAUCUUCCACCAUAAGAGAAUGUUAAAAUGCUUCGUGGACUCCUCUUUUGUAAUUUGCACCAAAGGAUCCAACAAAUACGAGUCCACCUCAUCUCUCACCACUUUCUCAUCACUAUCUUCAACAAAAUGCAUCCAUUCAUCAACAAGAUCAUCUUCCAUUGACACCACAUCGGAUGAAGUAGAAGAAUAUUGUGCUUGUGAAGGGCCUUUCUUCAUGUGUUUUCCACCUUCAACAUUAGGAGCAUAUGCAUCAUAAAGGGCAUGCAAUAGAUCUUUUACUUCAUUAGCUUUCAAUAAUGCCUCAAAAUCGGAAAGUUUCUUUUUAAAGAGUUGUGUGACAUGCCUCAACUUGAACCUUGGAUCCAAAACAAGUCCAAUCAUAAUUAGAGGGUUCAAUUCAUGGUAUGAGUCAAAAUAUUUUUCAUAUUUUGAUCUCAUGUCGGAAGCCAUGGCCUUCAAUAAUUGCUCCGAAGGUAGACCGACUUGCAUGUUGGCUCGGGACUCUAAAUUAUUUAUAGCGGUCUCUAUUUUUAUGACAUCAUGGAGGCCGGUAUGAACUGUGGGAUGUGUAGAAGCACUAACCCUCAAAGUCACAUCAUAGAACACCCGUAAAAACUUGACAAAAGCUUCCGCCUUGAGCCAAUCUUCUUCCGUAGGUGGUCCAACCAUUUUCCUCCCUUUAAUUUGGCAAGCAAUAAACACCCCAUCUUCAUCUUUUUCAUCUUCAACUUCCUUAAAGUAAGCCACAAAGGGACUUUUUACAUCCUCCGCCAUAGUGGCAAAGGCCUUCUUAAACUUCAAAGCUACAUCCAACAUAACAAAUGUAGAAUUCCACCGAGUAGGACAAUCAAGGCAAACCGUUGCUUUGCACGUCAACUUCACCAAAUUCACGGCUUGCCUAAAAAACUGCAAUCUUUGUGGAGAGCUCCUCACAAACCUCACACAAUUUCGUAUUGCUAAAAGACCAUUCUUUAGCCUCUUCAUCCCAUGACUCACAAUUAUGUUGGUUAUGUGAGCGAUGCAUCGUACAUGUAAAUACUUGCCACCUAAAAUAGCUUGUGAAUUUUCCCACCUAUUCAUUUUUACCAUAAGUUGAUCCAAAGCAACUUUAUUUGCGGAAGCAUUGUCCACUGUGAUUGUCAUAACUCUAUCUAUCCCCCAUUCCAACAAGCAAUUUUCAAUUAACUUUGCAAUUGUGGUUCCAUAGUGGUUAGGAAUAACACAAAAGUUUAUGAUCCUCUUGUGCAUAUUCCAUUCAUCAUCAAUGAAGUGUGCAGUAAGAACCAUAUAAUUGAUAUUUUGUGUGCUUGUCCAAGUGUCGGUGGUGAGACAGAUUCUGUGCCCACUUAAGUUUUUCUUCAAAGAAGUCUUCCAUUCUUCAUACAUGUUGAGAAAAGUUCUAACAAGUGUUCUUCUAGAAGGCACAUUAAACAAUGGAAUACCAACAUCCAAAAAAGCCGAAACCCCAUCUUAUCAACGGUACUAAAUGGCAUCUCAUCUAUGACUACCAUCUUGACACAUGCUUCUAAUACAUUAACUUGUGAAAAGCCAACAACAACCACAUUGUUAUCUUUACUUUUAUCCUCAAAACACUUUUUGCUUUUUACAUUUAUUCCCCUGAUAAAAUCUACAAUAUUUUUCAAUGUGGUGUUUCAUAGUUGAGGUGCCAUUUACUCUCGGUUCAGCUGCAUAGUCACCAUCAUUGCUCUUUUUCGAACAAUAAUUACACUUAGCUCUCCUAAGUUGUUUAUCCACCCAAACUUCCUCCCCCUUAUCAUUGAUUGUUUUCACUUUUUUCGUCACAUAGUAUGUUGUAAAAUGCUCCCAAACCCAACUACGCUUUCUUGAAUCAGAGUUACUUACUUGUGCAUCAUCUUCACCUUCAGAUUCAUUUCCAUCAUUUUUUGGGUCACCUUCAACAUUUUCUUGAUUUUCUGGAUCAAUUUCUAUUGUCUCAUCCUCCGGCUUCUCAGGGGAGUCACCCGUUGAAGAGAGAGCAACCGAACUAUGUUUGCUAGAUUCUUCAAAUCUUGACUGAAACAUAAAAGAAAAGUAAGCAGCAACAACAAUUAACAAUUAUCAGUAGUGUUUGGACUCCCUAUUGGACAACAUAUGAGUAACAGGUUUGGUUCGUUUUGUGAUCCAAAUCCAAUUUUUUUUCCAUUGAACACGUCAUGCUUAGUUUCAACAUGUUAAAUAGUUAUGAAUCACUUAUCCUGCUUGGCCUAUGUUGUAUUGUUUGAUAACUUUUUUUUUAUCGUAUGGGUAGAUGUUUCCACAAGGAAGGAUGCAAUUUGAGUACAUGAUCAAACCAAGGAUUAUAGAGCAGAUACUUUUAGUACAAUUCCGUUAAGUAGUGCCUCUCUUCAUUCAGGCCUGCAUUGAGUCUAAACUUGUAGGACAACUCAAUCACAGCUACAAAUAUUAACCACUGUACAUAUAAAUUACAAAGAAAACUCAUAUAUUGUAUAAGAACAAACCUCGCAACUUUCGAAAUUAUAUGUUGCAUACGAUUAACCGAUCCCCAC